UACGGGGGGCAAGCGUUGUUCGGAAUUACUGGGCGUAAAGGGCUCGUAGGCGGCCAACUAAGUCCGACGUGAAAUCCCCAGGCUUAACCUGGGAACUGCGUCGGAUACUGGAUGGCUUGAAUCCGGGAGAGGGAUGCGGAAUUCCAGGUGUAGCGGUGAAAUGCGUAGAUAUCUGGAGGAACACCGGUGGCGAAGGCGGCAUCCUGGACCGGUAUUGACGCUGAUGAGCGAAAGCCAGGGGAGCAAACGGG
This 251-nucleotide ribosomal RNA is filed under the name uncultured bacterium. RNAcentral's name for it is "partial 16S ribosomal RNA". It matches the Rfam family "Bacterial small subunit ribosomal RNA", at positions 526 to 776 of the family's 1533-position model. The record is from RNAcentral.